CUACCCAAGCGUCUGGAAUAACCGGCCGAAAGGCUGGCUAAUACUGGAUAGAGCGACGGGAUCCGUAAUCGGAUCUUUCGGGAAAGGGAGGCCGUAAGGCCCCUCGCAUUUGGAUGAGCCUGCGUCUCAUUAGCUAGUUGGUGGGGUAACGGCCCACCAAGGCAUUGAUGAGUAGCUGGUCUGAGAGGAUGAUCAGCCACACUGGAACUGAAACACGGUCCAG
RNAcentral lists this ribosomal RNA (223 nucleotides) under uncultured bacterium. RNAcentral's name for it is "partial 16S ribosomal RNA". It matches the Rfam family "Bacterial small subunit ribosomal RNA", at positions 126 to 334 of the family's 1533-position model. The record is from RNAcentral.